RNAcentral lists this ribosomal RNA (484 nucleotides) under uncultured bacterium. RNAcentral's name for it is "partial 16S ribosomal RNA". It matches the Rfam family "Bacterial small subunit ribosomal RNA", at positions 29 to 507 of the family's 1533-position model. The record is from RNAcentral.
AUUGAACGCUGGCGGCAUGCCUUACACAUGCAAGUCGAACGGCAGCACGGGUGCUUGCCCCUGGUGGCGAGUGGCGAACGGGUGAGUAAUACAUCGGAACAUGUCCUGUAGUGGGGGAUAGCCCGGCGAAAGCCGGAUUAAUACCGCAUACGAUCUACGGAUGAAAGCGGGGGACCUUCGGGCCUCGCGCUAUAGGGUUGGCCGAUGGCUGAUUAGCUAGUUGGUGGGGUAAAGGCCUACCAAGGCGACGAUCAGUAGCUGGUCUGAGAGGACGACCAGCCACACUGGGACUGAGACACGGCCCAGACUCCUACGGGAGGCAGCAGUGGGGAAUUUUGGACAAGGGGCGAAAGCCUGAUCCAGCAAUGCCGCGUGUGUGAAGAAGGCCGUCGGGUUGGAGCACUUUUGUCCGGAAAGAAAUCCUUGGCCCUAAUACGGUCGGGGGAUGACGGUACCGGAAGAAUAAGCACCGGCUAACUACGUG